GCUCAGGAUGAACGCUGGCGGCGUGCUUAACACAUGCAAGUCGAACGGGAAAUAUUUCAUUGAGACUUCGGUGGAUCUGAUCUAUUUCUAGUGGCGGACGGGUGAGUAACGCGUGGGUAACCUGCCUUAUACAGGGGGAUAACAGUCAGAAAUGGCUGCUAAUACCGCAUAAGCGCACAGAGCUGCAUGGCUCAGUGUGAAAAACUCCGGUGGUAUAAGAUGGACCCGCGUUGGAUUAGCUAGUUGGUGGGGUAACGGCCCACCAAGGCGACGAUCCAUAGCCGGCCUGAGAGGGUGAACGGCCACAUUGGGACUGAGACACGGCCCAGACUCCUACGGGAGGCAGCAGUA
RNAcentral lists this ribosomal RNA (351 nucleotides) under uncultured bacterium. Its description in RNAcentral is "bacterial SSU rRNA". It matches the Rfam family "Bacterial small subunit ribosomal RNA", at positions 22 to 356 of the family's 1533-position model. The record is from RNAcentral.